AGAGUUUGAUCCUGGCUCAGAAUGAACGCUGGCGGCGCGCCUAAUACAUGCAAGUCGAGCGAGAAGACGUAGCAAUACGUUUGUAAAGCGGCGAACGGGUGAGGAAUACAUGGGUAACCUACCCUUGAGUGGGGAAUAACUAGCCGAAAGGUUAGCUAAUACCGCGUACGCUUCUUGGACUUCGGUUCAGGGAGGAAAGCGCUACCGUGGGUAGCGCGCUCUUGGAUGGGCUCAUGUCCUAUCAGCUUGUUGGUGAGGUAACGGCUCACCAAGGCUUCGACGGGUAGCUGGUCUGAGAGGACGAUCAGCCACACUGGCACUGCGACACGGGCCAGACUCCUACGGGAGGCAGCAGUAAGGAAUAUUGCGCAAUGGGCGAAAGCCUGACGCAGCGACGCCGCGUGGGGGAUGAAGGUCUUCGGAUUGUAAACCCCUUUCGGGAGGGAAGAUGGAAUGGGGUAACCCAUUCGGACGGUACCUCCAGAAGCAG
Molecule: ribosomal RNA, 490 nt
Filed under: uncultured Nitrospira sp.
Lineage: Bacteria; Pseudomonadati; Nitrospirota; Nitrospiria; Nitrospirales; Nitrospiraceae
Description: bacterial SSU rRNA
Rfam family: Bacterial small subunit ribosomal RNA
Source: RNAcentral